This is a long non-coding RNA of Pan troglodytes (chimpanzee), 920 nucleotides long. RefSeq lists it as uncharacterized. NCBI's taxonomy places the organism in Eukaryota, Metazoa, Chordata, Mammalia, Primates, Hominidae. The transcript has 2 exons. The record is from RefSeq and is a predicted model, not a curated record.
GAGCCCUCCCCCUUCCCAGCCCCGCCCGCCGCCCCGCGCCGCCACCUGCGGGCCGCCCUCCAGGAUGCCCGCCGGCCACGUCCUAGUCGCCUGGAGCCGCACCCCGCCUUCCUCGCCCGCGGCUGCCCCUGCACUUUUACCCACGCCGUGGGGCACAGAGAAGUAUCCGGUAAAGACCUGGAUCCGGAAAAGCUGAUCACAUCCCUCCCCGAGCGCUUAUUACUUCUAGCACUUCUCGGGGUCCUUCCAGAGGGUCAUAGAGGACAUUGGGAGGACUUGAAGAAGACUCAGACCAGAACCAAAGAUGUAAGGAAACUAAACCCUGCAAAACCUGAUUUCUCAUACCGGCAUAGACUUGACUUGAAGAGAUCAUCAAGUGUAUAGUGAAGAUUGGCUCAGGCAAGAAUCAUCCAUGAAUGCUUACUCUAGGGGGCUGUUACUGGCUGGCAGAUAUUUGUCUGGGUUGAUGUGUCUCCCUAUAGAUGGUUUAGACCUGUUAGUAGCAAAAGCGGAAAUAGUAAUUAUACAAAGAGGCAGGCAGACAGCAUCUUAACCAGGUGAUCAAAAUUUACAUCACCAAUGAGAGCAGAUGGAUAUCAUGUCCACAUCAGCUAUGCAGUAUUCCUGGGGACAAUGCAUAACCUGAAUCAUGAUAAUGAAACAUCGGACAAACCCAAAAUGAGGAACAUCUAUUAAAAAGAGGAAGGGUCUGUAUUAUUCAAAAAUGUCAAGGUCAUUAAAAUCAAAAGAAAGCUUGGGAAAUGUUCCAGAUUAAAGGGUGCAAAAGAGUCAGGGCAGCUAAAUGCCAUGCCUGAUCCUAGACUGCAUCCUGUGCUAGAGGAGGGGAAAUACAUCACGGACAUUCCAGCUGACAAAAUCAGAAUCCAUGUAAGAGAUUAAAGUAUUGGAUCAAUGUUAAA